UACGUAGGGGGCGAGCGUUGUCCGGAUUUAUUGGGCGUAAAGAGCGUGUAGGCGGCCAGGUAGGUCUGCUGUGAAAACUCGAGGCUCAACCUCGAGACGUCGGCGGAAACCAUCUGGCUAGAGUCCGGAAGAGGAGAGUGGAAUUCCAGGUGUAGCGGUGAAAUGCGUAGAUAUCUGGAGGAACACCGGUGGCGAAGGCGGCAUCCUGGACCGGUAUUGACGCUGAGGCGCGAAAGCUAGGGGAGCAAACGGG
This 253-nucleotide ribosomal RNA is filed under the name uncultured bacterium. Its description in RNAcentral is "partial 16S ribosomal RNA". It matches the Rfam family "Bacterial small subunit ribosomal RNA", at positions 524 to 776 of the family's 1533-position model. The record is from RNAcentral.